RNAcentral lists this ribosomal RNA (391 nucleotides) under uncultured soil bacterium. RNAcentral describes it as "bacterial SSU rRNA". It matches the Rfam family "Bacterial small subunit ribosomal RNA", at positions 26 to 415 of the family's 1533-position model. The record is from RNAcentral.
AGAUUGAACGCUGGCGGCAGGCCUAACACAUGCAAGUCGAGCGGUAGAGAGGUGCUUGCACCUCUUGAGAGCGGCGGACGGGUGAGUAAUGCCUAGGAAUCUGCCUAGUGGUGGGGGAUAACGUUCGGAAACGGACGCUAAUACCGCAUACGUCCUACGGGAGAAAGCGGGGGACCUUCGGGCCUCGCGCCAUUAGAUGAGCCUAGGUCGGAUUAGCUAGUUGGUGAGGUAAUGGCUCACCAAGGCGACGAUCCGUAACUGGUCUGAGAGGAUGAUCAGUCACACUGGAACUGAGACACGGUCCAGACUCCGUACGGGAGCAGCAGGUGGGAAUAGUUGGACAAGUGGGCGCAAGCCUGACUCCAGCAAUCGCCGCGUGAGUGAAGAACGG